AUGGCAUAUGAAAGAUUAUUAGAUUGGCUAAAAUAGUAAAUUCCCUCACCAUCGUCUUCUGAGAGCAUUGAAUCGCAUCCCUUCACCUCCACGUCCGGUUAAAUCUUUCAAUUCAAUGCCAUGAAUCAUAACCCUAACCCUUCGAUUUGCCAGCCGUUCCAACUGAAUCUGAUUUAACCCGUUGUCAAUCAAAGUCAGAUGCAAGCAAGGGUGUUCGAUUAGGGUUUCUUAUAGCUCAGGAGAUGAGGAUUAUGGGAGAUACACGGAGAUAGCACUCAAGUGACGAUACUCAGCCUAGGGCAAUUGAAGCCUAUCAGGAAGGUGAUGACAAUGUCGGUAUUGGAGCUUCGACUAUUUUCCGGUGACCGAAGGAUAGUUGAAGGUUGACAGCAUCAUUUCCCAAUUGGGUUUUUUGAACAAGAACAAUACCCUUCUUCUCCACGAUUCAGGUCUGGUAACUCAGACACAUUUCCGGUGUACCGAGCACUGGCAGAAGGUUAUUAAGAGGUCGGGGAUUUCAUGGUGGUUGGUAUGGGCAAAGUCGGCAAAGAAUUUUUCCGGCACCAGGGUUACAAGUUGUGAUUUCGAUAUGCAGAAGCAUUUGCGAGG
Molecule: long non-coding RNA, 609 nt
Filed under: Helianthus annuus (common sunflower)
Lineage: Eukaryota; Viridiplantae; Streptophyta; Magnoliopsida; Asterales; Asteraceae
Source: RNAcentral